RNAcentral lists this long non-coding RNA (1042 nucleotides) under Androctonus crassicauda. Lineage: Eukaryota; Metazoa; Arthropoda; Arachnida; Scorpiones; Buthidae. The record is from RNAcentral.
AGCAACAGUAGCCAUACUGGUGUGUACGUUUACUGUUCGUGGAAAAAAACCAAAAAAAGUGAUUGGUUAUCGUCGCAUGCCGUGCGAGGCGUCGUGUUCACCGGUCGCCAGUAGGAGGACAGGUAAUCUAGACUUUUGCCUGAAACUUUUUAUUAUGCUGUGUAUUGUUUUGUAAAUUACAGAUAAAUCGCACAUGUAACAGAUGUGCAAUUUAUGGAGUUUAAAAUACUAUAUAUAAACAAAGGAGUAUAUUCGUGCAUAACAGCCUCGCUAAGAAUCAGGUUGGACUGUUUGUUUUUUGGUUAGUGCAUCACUACAAUAGGUAAGCAUACAUUUUAAAAGAAAACAGAAGUCCACGAUUUUAUAUUUUUAAAUGGGUCCAGAGACCAUCUUGGUAUAGAGAGGGGCAUACAUAUGUUUCCUAAACACUUUAGUAAUUACUGUUGUAUUAGAGAUAGCAAUGUCAACAUUAAAAAAUAUGUAUUCGUAUCUGAUUGUUGUUCUAAGAAUGUAUAUAAUCCUCAGAUUUCAUUGUUAAACAACUGUUGUAAUAGGAUGUUGGCUAAUAUAAAUUUAUUACAAAUUAUGAAGAUAUCAUCAACAUAUCCUAAGAAUAAUUUAAACUAUUUUUUAGAGAAGUCAAGAUAGAUUUUUCGUUGUACCUGAUAACUAAUUCAGCCAUGAUACCUGCCAUUGGCCCCCUAUAGGUACACCAAUUAGCUGUUUAUAAAAAUUAUCACUAUAUCUAAAAUAGGAGUUAUGGGCUAUAAGAUGGCAAAGAUCACAUAUUACCUGUGGGGGAACUUUCAUGUCUUUGAUAUUCUUGAGGAGAAAUCUAUACAACAACAAACAUGCAGGGGGGUAUAUUUGUCAAUGGAUAUAGCUGCAAAUAAUCUGCCACAAUCAUACUAUCAUUAUGAGAACAACAUUAACAUUGAUUGACAGAAUGCCAAAAUGGUAUGAUCAUGUAAUGAUAUAUCACAAAUUAGAUAUGCUGAGGCUAUGAUCGUGGAACAGUAUUGAACUAACUUGUGUCAUAUUA